RNAcentral lists this ribosomal RNA (248 nucleotides) under uncultured Lachnospiraceae bacterium. RNAcentral's name for it is "partial 16S ribosomal RNA". It matches the Rfam family "Bacterial small subunit ribosomal RNA", at positions 524 to 771 of the family's 1533-position model. Lineage: Bacteria; Bacillati; Bacillota; Clostridia; Lachnospirales; Lachnospiraceae. The record is from RNAcentral.
UACGUAGGGGGCAAGCGUUAUCCGGAAUUACUGGGUGUAAAGGGAGCGUAGACGGUAAAGCAAGUCUGGAGUGAAAGGCUGGGGCCCAACCCCGGGACUGCUUUGGAAACUGUGCAGCUGGAGUGCAGGAGAGGUAAGUGGAAUUCCUAGUGUAGCGGUGAAAUGCGUAGAUAUAUGGAAGAACACCAGUGGCGAAAGCGGCUCUCUGGUCUGUAACUGACGUUGAGGCUCGAAAGCGUGGGGAGCAA